UGUGCGAGGGGUGUGCAAGUGUGCAAGGGGUUGUGCAAGGGGUGUGCAAGGCCGGGAAGAGGCAUUCAAGGGGUUGUGCAAGGGGCAAGCAGCGCUGUAACCACGCAAGGGGGUGUGCAAGGCCAGGAAGAGCCGUGCAAGGGGUGUGUGAGGGGCGUGCAAGGGGGUGGCUGCAACCGUGCAAGGGGGGGCGUGCAAGGCCGGGAAGAGCCGUGCGAGGGGCGUGCGAGGCCCAGUUCAGCUUCCCCCAAGCCGAGAGCCCCCCACCCCGCCACCCCCCCACCCCGUUGCCCCCCCCCCCCCAGCAGCGACCACUCCCAAUUUCUCUCUAUUUUAUGUUAAAAUCACUUUACAUGUAAAAUACAAAAAUAUGCCCCAGGGGGGGACGACACCCCCCCCCCCCCCAUGACCCCCCCUCCGGCUCCAGGGGACCCCCCAGGGGACACAGGACAGGGUGACCGGGGGGGGGGCC
Molecule: long non-coding RNA, 472 nt
Organism: Aquila chrysaetos chrysaetos
Lineage: Eukaryota; Metazoa; Chordata; Aves; Accipitriformes; Accipitridae
Exons: 3
Source: RefSeq, a predicted model, not a curated record